This 253-nucleotide ribosomal RNA is filed under the name uncultured bacterium. Its description in RNAcentral is "partial 16S ribosomal RNA". It matches the Rfam family "Bacterial small subunit ribosomal RNA", at positions 524 to 776 of the family's 1533-position model. The record is from RNAcentral.
UACGGAGGGAGCUAGCGUUGUUCGGAUAUACUGGGCGUAAAGCGCACGUAGGCGGCGUCGUAAGUCAGGGGUGAAAUCCCGGAGCUCAACUCCGGAACUGCCCUUGAAACUGCAAUGCUAGAAUCUUGGAGAGGCGAGUGGAAUUCCGAGUGUAGAGGUGAAAUUCGUAGAUAUUCGGAAGAACACCAGUGGCGAAGGCGACUCGCUGGACAAGUAUUGACGCUGAGGUGCGAAAGCGUGGGGAGCAAACAGG